UGUUCUCAAGUAUAUGCUUAGUACAUACAAAAUGAAUCAGAGGUUUGUCAAGUUUUUCUAUAUUUCAGUGCCUUGUAUAUAAAAAUUGUCGGUAUCUAAUUGAAAGUACCAUGAACUAUGUGGUUCAACAUUGUAACAAAUGUAGAAAUUAAACUAUGUGGUACACUUAAUAAAAUAUAUACUAUUUUUUGCACAAGUUUAGGAUUUUGGAAUGUACUCCUUAGAGUAUUGAAUGGAAUAAAUAUGGAGUACAAUAUUUUAUGAAUUAUAUUUUACAUCAGUAAAGUUUGCUAAACUAUAUUUUUGUUAUAUUCUAAGCUAUUUUCAUUAUUGACUUUUAGUUUGAUCCGAAGUCAAGAAGAAAUUGAAAUAAUGAUACAAUACUAUUAGAAUUUUAUACUUGAUUAACAUAUAGUUAUAGUUCUAGUUCUUGUUAGCCAAAAAUAGUCGAAUCAUUUACUUGAUUUAUUGACUUUUUCCAUCUUAAAUAGCCUCACUAGUUUAUUGGGUUGUAUAAAGAUUAAUAAAUUGUUGUUUUAUAAUAUACAUUUGAUAUAUAAUAUACUAAAUUCCAGUUUGUUUUAUAUUUGCAUAUUUAUUUGUUAUAUUAUUGUAUAAGUCUUGGAAGAUUUUAGUUAUGAGUGCCUAUAUGUGUAGCCAUUCCUUUAUUGUACAUAAGUAGUAAUACUUGCAAUCUCGAUUAUAUUUGAAUAUGAUUUAAAUAAAGAAAUAUAUAAAUCAAUAUGGUUCACUAGUAAUAAAUGUGUGACAGUAAAGAUAUAUUUACAUAUUAAUAAUUAUGAUUGGAUUGGUUUUCUCUAGUCUCGAUUUAACAAAAUUUCCUUGGUAUGUAUGUUAGAAAUCUUAUUAUUUGCUUGAUCUUGCAAAGAACUUAAAUGUAUACAAUUUCAUUGGUAGAUAUGAUUUUUAUAAUAUGAUUUAGUGGCCUAUUCAACAAGCUUUCUAGCAUGUGGAUUUUCAUGGACUGCUUCAUCACAUUUUUUCUUAUGUUUUUUCUUAUAAUCUUAACAUUUGACUGUCUAAUUAAUAAUUAAGUUGAUUAUAGAAUUUUAAAUAACAUGACUUGGGGUAAUAACAUGAUAUGGAACAUACAUCUAACUUUUUUAUUUUUUAUAAUGUUAAUAAUAAUGUUUAGGUUAAUAUUUUGAUUGAUCUUAAAGCAUUGGAUCAGUAGCUAAUUACAAAAGGUAGUUGACAGAAUGAAACAUUUGGUUUUGGAGCAAGAAAAGCAAUAUCCAUCUGGAGUAAGAUGACAACUUUCAAAUGCACAUGUUUAUCGGGUUCGAGUGCAUCGGGUCUCGGGUGGGGAAAGCACAUAUCGAACCCAUCCGAAUUGGGGUCGAAUGUGGUCAGGUUCGAGUUUGGAUUUCUCGAGUGGGGAUCAUUCAGGUUCAGAUUGGACAGACCAAGAAAAUGAGUGCAACUUGAUGUGGAUGGGUCUCUUUGUCGCAGUGAAGGAGGAGGCGUUAACUGCCGUUAAGCAAGGAGAACAGAAGAGAAGGAAGGGAAUAAGAAGAGAAGGGGACAAGACCAUUUUGGGUCGGUGAUUGGCUGGCCUGUGGUUGGUAGUGGUGGUGUGUCUCGGCGUCGAUGAGGGGAGAGAGUGACGGAUCGAGGGAGAGGGUCGAGAAGAGGAGGAGGAAUCGAGAGGGAAAGGCGAGGCAAUAUGAGAAUUAGGGAUGAUGGUGGUGUGUCUCGGUGCCGAUGAGGGGAGAGAGUGAGAGAUCGAGGGAGAGAGUCGAGAAGAGGAGGAGGAGUCGAGAGAGGGAGUGGCGAUAGGAGACGAGAAUUAGGGAUUAGGGUUCUGCUUUUUUAUUUUUUUAAUUUUAAGAUAUAUGAUAUAUUAUUAUUAUUUAUAAUAAAAACUGGAAAAAAAAUUAAAUAUUUCGGGUGGGCUCGGGUUACACCCGAACCCGAAGUGCAUUAGCUAUGGGAUCCGAACUCGACCCUACAACGCAGUCGAGUUACACUCAAUUCGACCCGACAGUAUGGGUUUUGCAGUUUUUUCGGGUCUCUCGGGUUCAGGUUGGUUGGGUUCAUUAGGUGGGCGGGUUUUCGGGUCCAAAUGUAUAGCCGUAGUUAUU
Long non-coding RNA from Humulus lupulus (European hop), 2105 nucleotides. RefSeq lists it as uncharacterized. The record is from RefSeq and is a predicted model, not a curated record. The transcript is spliced from 3 exons. NCBI's taxonomy places the organism in Eukaryota, Viridiplantae, Streptophyta, Magnoliopsida, Rosales, Cannabaceae.